GGUUCUCUAGCUCAACGGCAGAGCGGCACUUUGUUAAGGUGUUGGUUGUAGGUUCGAAUCCUACGGGAACCG
RNAcentral lists this transfer RNA (72 nucleotides) under Lewinella sp. W8. It matches the Rfam family "tRNA". Rfam says of the family: Transfer RNA (tRNA) molecules are approximately 80 nucleotides in length. Their secondary structure includes four short double-helical elements and three loops (D, anti-codon, and T loops). Lineage: Bacteria; Pseudomonadati; Bacteroidota; Saprospiria; Saprospirales; Lewinellaceae. The record is from Rfam by way of RNAcentral.